This is a long non-coding RNA of Alexandromys fortis (reed vole), 455 nucleotides long. RefSeq lists it as uncharacterized. Lineage: Eukaryota; Metazoa; Chordata; Mammalia; Rodentia; Cricetidae. The record is from RefSeq and is a predicted model, not a curated record. The transcript is spliced from 3 exons.
GUUACAGAUAACUGCCUCUGUUUGAAAUCCGAUGGAUACCUGGCUUGCACGGGAAACGUGCACAAACAUAAGGAAACCGUGACAAGCUGGCAUUACAUCACCGUGACAAGUAAUUCUUAACUACUAGUGUUUAUUAUGAUCAUGGAACAAGCUACCAUAUACUGAACUUUCCAGGAGAGGAUGAGACCCUGUGGGUUUUUUCCAGACUAAUGUGAUUUGAUGGACCAAGACACCCUGAAAGGUCUUCAUAAACCCCUAAAAUUACUUUGCUAAACAUAUGGGGAAUCUCAUACUCAUAAGAAAGUGUCUCCUGGCCGAGGAAUCGUGACCUGACCUAUUCGUAACCUCCUGGCCUACGUGACCGACAUGGACCACGCGGCAAGAGACCAUGCCCCUGCCCGUCCCCCUUCCCCCCGCCAAAUUCCUCAUCCUAUUUAAGCUGUAACCAUACUCAA